AAAAUUCUCCACAGAUAAUUUUCUUGGGCGACAAAGAGAAUGACAAGAACUUCAAUGAUUUGGUAAACAAAACAGAAAAUUUCAGAUGGCACAAACCGAGUGUCGGGUAUUUGCUGGAUUUUUCACGUGGCCAAUCCGACAAUCACUCGAAUAUACUUACACGUGUGGCUACAAAUUUGUUGACUUUUGACUGACCCCAUAUGAAGGUAUCCCGCACGUGCGGUGCAUCAAAGCUUUGUUCCCUUGCUGGGCUUACGUUGUGGCUCAAGUAGGUGAUAACUUGGCCCAGUAGUACUGUAGAAGUAAAACGACAUUGUAUGAUGUGUUCUGCGUUUUACUUCUUU
This 344-nucleotide long non-coding RNA is filed under the name Brassica napus (rape). Its description in RNAcentral is "long non-coding RNA (BNAP_LNC001235)". The record is from RNAcentral. Lineage: Eukaryota; Viridiplantae; Streptophyta; Magnoliopsida; Brassicales; Brassicaceae.